UCCCCGUUGAAGCGAGGCAGUCCGUCCAGAGUGCUCCCUGCUCUCGCAGAGAUAGCAACAGGACGCAAGGGUUGCGCUCGUUGCGGGACUUAACCCAACAUCUCACGACACGAGCUAACGACAGCCAUGCAGCACCUGUGCACGCUCCCCUUGCGGGGUCGUUCCGCUUUCACGGUCCUACCACGUGCAUGUCAAGGCCAGGUAAGGUUCUUCGCGUUGCAUCGAAUUAAGCCACAUACUCCACCGCUUGUGCAGGCCCCCGUCAAUUUCUUUGAGUUUUAAUCUUGCGACCGUACUUCCCAGGCGGCGCGUUUAUCGCGUUAGCUUCGCCACAAAAGGGGUCGAUUCCUUUUACAGCAAACGCGCACCGUUUACGGCUAGGACUAC
This 387-nucleotide unclassified non-coding RNA is filed under the name uncultured Verrucomicrobiae bacterium. RNAcentral describes it as "contains 16S-23S intergenic spacer region". Lineage: Bacteria; Pseudomonadati; Verrucomicrobiota; Verrucomicrobiia. The record is from RNAcentral.